CUACGGGUGGCUGCAGUGAGGAAUUUUGCGCAAUGGGGGAAACCCUGACGCAGCAACGCCGCGUGAGUGAUGAAGGCUUUCGGGUCGUAAAACUCUGUCAAGUGGGAAGAACCUAUGUAAGGUUAAUACCCUUAUGUACUGACGGUACCACUGAAGGAAGCACCGGCUAACUCCGUGCCAGCAGCCGCGGUAAUACGGAGGGCGCAAGCGUUAUUCGGAAUUAUUGGGCGUAAAGGGCGCGCAGGCGGUUUUGUAAGUCAGAUGUGAAAGCCCGGGGCUUAACCUCGGAAGUGCAUUUGAUACUGCAAGACUUGAGUAUGGGAGGGGGAAGUGGAAUUCCUGGUGUAGAGGUGAAAUUCGUAGAUAUCAGGAGGAACACCAGUGGCGAAGGCGACUUCCUGGACCAAUACUGACGCUGAGGCGCGAAGGCGUGGGGAGCAAACAGGAUUAGAUACCCGGGUAGUC
RNAcentral lists this ribosomal RNA (465 nucleotides) under uncultured bacterium. RNAcentral describes it as "partial 16S ribosomal RNA". It matches the Rfam family "Bacterial small subunit ribosomal RNA", at positions 339 to 795 of the family's 1533-position model. The record is from RNAcentral.